This 1077-nucleotide long non-coding RNA is filed under the name Oncorhynchus mykiss (rainbow trout). RNAcentral describes it as "lncRNA (ENSOMYG00000048920.1)". The record is from RNAcentral. Lineage: Eukaryota; Metazoa; Chordata; Actinopteri; Salmoniformes; Salmonidae.
AUGUGGGUCACAACCCUUCAAACUGUCAACCUUAUGGGUCACAACCCUUCAAACUGUCAACCUUAUGGGUCACAACCCUUCAAACUGUCAACCUUACGGGUCACAACCCUUCAAACUGUCAACCUUAUGGGUCACAACCCUUCAAACUGUCAACCGUAUGGGUCACAACCCUUCAAACUGUCAACCUUAUGGGUCACAACCCUUCAAACUGUCAACCUUAUGGGUCACAACCCUUCAAACUGUCAACCUUAUGGGUCACAACCCUUCAAACUGUCAACCUUAUGGGUCACAACCCUUCAAACUGUCAACCUUAUGGGUCACAACCCUUCAAACUGUCAACCUUAUGGGUCACAACCCUUCAAACUGUCAACCGUAUGGGUCACAACCCUUCAAACUGUCAACCUUAUGGGUCACAACCCUUCAAACUGUCAACCUUAUGGGUCACAACCCUUCAAACUGUCAACCGUAUGGGUCACAACCCUUCAAACUGUCAACCUUAUGGGUCACAACCCUUCAAACUGUCAACCUUAUGGGUCACAACCCUUCAAACUGUCAACCUUAUGGGUCACAACCCUUCAAACUGUCAACCGUAUGGGUCACAACCCUUCAAACUGUCAACCUUAUGGGUCACAACCCUUCAAACUGUCAACCUUAUGGGUCACAACCCUUCAAACUGUCAACCUUAUGGGUCACAACCCUUCAAACUGUCAACCUUAUGGGUCACAACCCUUCAAACUGUCAACCGUAUGGGUCACAACCCUUCAAACUGUCAACCUUAUGGGUCACAACCCUUCAAACUGUCAACCUUAUGGGUCACAACCCUUCAAACUGUCAACCGUAUGGGUCACAACCCUUCAAACUGUCAACCUUAUGGGUCACAACCCUUCAAACUGUCAACCGUAUGGGUCACAACCCUUCAAACUGUCAACCGUAUGGGUCACAACCCUUCAAACUGUCAACCUUAUGGGUCACAACCCUUCAAACUGUCAACCGUAUGGGUCACAACCCUUCAAACUGUCAACCGUAUGGGUCACAACCCUUCAAACUGUCAACCUUAUGGGUCACAACCCUUCAAAC